UUGGGUUAUUUUCCUUUAUUGCAUCAUUGUGUCAUGUGACUCAUUUUACUGAAGUAUUUCACACAGAAAACAACUCAUAUUCUUUGAUUUUCUGAUAAAAGUAUAAGACUAAAUUUAAUAUGAUAAAAUGUUUUUAUACAAUUGAUAUUAAUUACUAUAAUAUUAUAUAUAUUAUAAUAUUAGUUCAUUUAGCUUAUUGCCCUAUAUCUAUAAUCUAUAUCUAUAAUCUAUAUCUAUAAUCUAUAUCUAUAAGGUAACACAACCUUUGGUUUUGCUGCAGCACAAAGAAAUAAAUUCAGGUAAAAAAGGAACGAAAAAAACAUUGGAUUUAAAUAAUAACGAUACAUCCAAUAGAUAUAACUUGUUACAGAGGAGGAGCGAUAAUACUCUUAGUUAGCAUUAAGCUAAGAACACUAGCAUAAAGCUAACGUUAUGCUAGUGUUGCACACCUGCUACCUGCUGAGGUCACACUGAGGAGGCGGAGACGACACAACUCACCACGGUUUUAUUGUCAGUUUACAUCUCUUCAGGUCAGCAGGAGGGGGCGGAGUUUAUGUCACAUGACCGCCGCGUUAUUGCCCAGUUCAUCGCAGGUCAAACAACUCCGUGGUCAGAGUCCCCAGCAUGCCGAGCAGCAGCAGGCCCCACGGCGCCCGCCGCGGGCCGGCUGCGGCGAGUGGCGGGAGGUGAACACUGCGCGCGUCCGGGAUCAUGUCAGCGGCGUCCUGCAGCGCGCUGACGGCCGCCGCGCUGGAGUUGAGGUCCCCGCUGGCGAUCAGGUCGAACACGCAGGCCUGGUAGUACACGCCUCUGGCGGGGAGCAUCGCUGCGCAGUGAGCCUUUGCGCCGGCGACGGUCUGCGAGUCGGGCGGCGGCCCCGGUGGGCUGAGCGUGUUGAGUGUCUGGGAGGCGGGGCAUCCCCACACGCACAGCUGGAGGUCUUGCUCGGCCCCGAAGGCCUCCACCACGCCACGCGGCGAGCGCACCGACAGGCCCAGCGAUCUGGGUCGGUCUGACGGACCACCAGCAGCGUGCCGAUGUGAGUCGCCCGGAUCUCGGCGUGGCGCCCGGGGCUCUGAGUCCGGACCGUCAGGCUGUGGCGACCUCGCCUCUCGCCGCUGGCCACCGAGCCGUCGGCGAAGGCGGCCGGAACGUUGUUGAGCUCGGCUUGGUAGAGCUGCUGCUCCACGCACUGGCGCCAGUUCUUGAAGAUGAUGGUGAUCUGCGGAGCAACGAGAGCUUCAUGGUCAUUGGGGCCGCCCUCAGGUCGCCUCUGACAUCACGAGCUCAGACUCACCUUGGUGACGGCAGUGGCGUGCAUCCCCUCUCGCGCCGGCGCGCUCGUGGCCUGCACGUACAGGUACUCGUUGUCGAUUAGAGGCCACGCCUCCCGCACGCGCAGUCUGGAAGUCGUUGUUGAAGGUCCUCACGUGUGGGUCUCCGAACACGCCGCAGUGCAGGUACUCAGGCGCCCGGCCCUCCCUGGCGAGGAGGCUCUUCUCGUAGAGGCAGGCGUCCCCUGACAACGUGCCCUGGGGGGGGGGGCGUGGCUGGGCGGUGGGCCCGGCCCGCGGGCAGCGGUGCUGGAUCAGCAGGUCUUCAAUCCCCUGGACUGCCGAGUGAUACGCCAGGUCGCCGCGGCACGCCCGCGCCAUCCGCUUGGUGCACGUGGCGUAAGACCGCAGGGCGCCGCAGUAGCCGGUGUUCGCCGCCUCGCUGCUGAGAGCUGCUAAUCCAGAGGCUCCGUCUCUUCCUCCCGAGGCUCCGCCCCCUGCGGCGCUGUUCCCCAGGGCGUUCAAGGGGGGCCACAAAGUCAGAGUUACACCUCAGGAUGUGUUAGGAAGCUCCCACUGCAGAGAGGACGUGCGUAAACAUCUCCCCCUUGAUGAUGUCACAGUGAUGUCAUCGCAGUACAUUUUCUUCACAUGUGAGGGUCAAAGGUCAGAACAGAUUGUAAACUGAGUCAUUUGAGAUUUGGGCUGUAUGAUAUAAUUUAAUUUAACUGUUCAUCAAAUGUUUUUGUAUUUAAAAUGAUAACUGUCUCAACUGCCUGAUUCUAAGUUACGUGUUUAAUAUUCUGUACAUUCAAUCACAAAUUAUAACUCAAAUUAUAUUUUUUAAUUCUUCAGUAUUCUGAAGUAGUUCAGAUAAGGAUGGUGAUGCUCUGUUGACAACAGCUUCCCAUUGUGGGAACGUAUGACUGAGUUCACUCAGACGAACACUUUAUUGUCACAUGACACCAUGUUUUAUGUCUGACGCUGUUGGUUUGCACUCAAAGGCUUUUAUUUUGAAGGCCAGCCCACAGCAGUUAGCCUUAAGCAACCGGAUGCUAGCAGGACGUCUACCUUCCGGUGAAAUCAGCAGCACGGCCAGCUGCAACGUCAGGUGGAUGCCGGGGUUCCACGGUAACGCCAUCAGCUGAGGGUGGAGUGGAAGAAGAUGAUGACGUAGAUGAUGAUGUCACACUCACCUGUCCAGCGUCAGGUAGCAUUAGUACUUUAACUGUAUUGAUCCACAUUGAAUGACAUAAUUAUCCUGCUUCAGACCAGUUUCACUGUAUUUACUAUCAGACUGAUCAAUAGACUCAUCAAAGAAUAUAAUCAGGGCUAAGAACUGAAUCUUCAGGACUUUGAUGUUUCACUCGUUGACCUUCAGAUGUUUCCUGUGGAUCAAUAGAUCUCCUGAGUAUUGACGAAGGUCCUCACCAGGAGACUCAUGAAGGACCUGGACUGAGAGUGCUGUAACUUGGACCUCGUCUGUUUGCUCUGCUGACAAACAGACGGGGCAGCGUGGGCGGGGCUUACAGCGGCGUUGCUCAUUCAUUGAUGAAAACGCCUCCCAUGGGGAGAAAAGGGAACCUCAGUGAGAACGUCAUCCGUCUCGAGCUUCACCUUCAGAGGCCAGAGACAACUAGACCCCAGAGACAACUAGACCUUCAGGGGCCAGAGACAACUAGACCCCAGAGACAACUAGACCUUCAGGGGCCAGAGA
Molecule: long non-coding RNA, 2991 nt
Organism: Gasterosteus aculeatus aculeatus (three-spined stickleback)
Lineage: Eukaryota; Metazoa; Chordata; Actinopteri; Perciformes; Gasterosteidae
Source: Ensembl